RNA transcript from Hypomesus transpacificus, 6759 nucleotides. It is a transcript of the gene named zinc finger protein 831, with no coding region annotated. The record is from RefSeq and is a predicted model, not a curated record. The transcript is spliced from 3 exons. Lineage: Eukaryota; Metazoa; Chordata; Actinopteri; Osmeriformes; Osmeridae.
UUACUCUGUAGAAAAUCUUGCUGUUAGAGAAGAUAAUAUACAAUAUAUUCUAGGAUAGCAGUUGUCAUUUUUACCCCAGUCUUAAGUAACCAUUCACAUGAAUACAUAUUGCACUAUUGGUAUUCCCCUCCAAAACAGAAGACAUUUGCAGACUGCAACUUUUUGUUGUUGCAGAAAGCAGCCUCCAUUCCUCUUCCCUCUUAGAAACAUAAGACACCUAUACUCAUGGACACAGAUGGGACUAUGCACACAUUGGCAAAAAAGGCUGUGGUUAUGAUAGUGGUUGGGAUGUUCUCUGCAAACACUUCCAUCUAUUAUCAGUUUACCCUCAUGGGCAACGACAAUGCCAGCACAACCCUGUGAUUUGCUGACUACACCCACAGAAUCUCUCUUGUGCCCUGCGAGUGGGUGGGUGAGGUGUGGUUAGAGGAAGAGAAGCAGAGAGAUUUUAUCAGAGGAAGUAUUCAGGUAGCGGCUCACAGUGUGUUGAUGUUAGAGCGAGUCAGUCAGUCUGGGAGAGAUGUACUGUAAAAGGUAAUUAAAGGCCCUGCAUCAGAACAUCACAACGGCUGUUGUCAUGGAGACUGGCAAGCAGGGCUUUGUGAAUGUUUCUGUGCUUGGCAGCUCAGUCUCAGCGCAGAGAGAAAACAGGAUGCACGUCCAGGCCCCACCGACGACUAUGCUCAUCCACACGAUACCUGCUGCGCCACCACAUCCCCGGGCACAGAUACACCCACAAGCCCAGCUACCUGCAGCCACCCAGGAAUCUGCCCACCAGCAUCUGCCAGUGCCGCCUCUAUAUGCCAAAGAGACACUUCCCUUCCUGACGCUCCAUUUCCCUGGAGGGCUAGAGCUUCAUCAGGGACCUAGCCCAGCGACAGCCGUGUCUGCAGCCAGACCCAAGUCUACAGGGAAGCAUUUGUGCCCUCAUUGUGGCCGGGACUGUCUGAAACCCAGUGUGCUGGAGAAGCACCUGCGCUGCCACACCGGGGAAAGGCCUUACCCUUGCACUACCUGUGGCGUCUCCUUCAAGACCCAGAGCAACCUCUACAAGCACAAACGCACCCAGGCCCAUGCCCGCCUCUCAUCUGAGUCUGAGCAGAGCAGUUUAGGCAGCCAAGACAGCUUGAGCAGCUCUGGGGAUACUUAUACCACCAGCCUGUCUUUAGAUGUCCUCAGUGGGGACUCUGGGAAUCAAAACAUGGAGGUUAGUGCAUCUCUCUGUCAAGCCAUCUCUCCAGUUAGCUCUGUGCUGCCCCCUACUGCUCAGGUUGGUCUAGAGACAGGCUGGGCCCUGCACCAGGCUGCUUUGGUGGGCCUUAUUCUUGCACCUGGAAAUGACCAUAAUGUCCAAGGUACAAAAUCUGAGGGUAUGAAUUACUUUGAUAAGACAAAUGAAGAAGAGAAAGAUAAAACAAUUGAAAAUACAAAGCCUCGACUGGCUCCAAAUCGUCAUCUCCCCCUCCAGAGGCAAGAGGCAACCCUGUUUUCCAAACAUUGGGAGAAUUCUGUAUCAAGAGGAAAAUCCCAGAGCCAUGACAGCACAGAUUCCGGAUUCAGUGAGAGUAUUGAGCAGCCCUGGACCACCAGUCCUGGGAUUGUGCUGCCUGACCACAGUAUGGAGUCCCUUGUUGAGUCCAGUCUGGAAGUCCACAGCCAGCCUAACACCACCCACAUCUCCACCAAGCCUGACCUUACUACUUCAGAGACCAAAUCCAGUGUAUCAGAGCAGGAACAGAAGAAACUGGAGGAAAGGAUCUCCAAACUGAUAUCUGAGAAUGAUGCAGUAGUGGAUGAUAAACACCUGGAAAACGUGAGGCCUCGGAAGACAAUGUUGUCCAAGCAAGGGAGUAUUGACCUCCCCAUGCCAUACACCUACAAAGACUCAUUUCACUUUGAGAUAAAGACCAGCAAACCCUCUAAUGCUGCAUUAAGUUGGCAGAAAGCAGACCGAGGGACAGCCCUGUAUAGCUCUGUGCCCAGCCAACACUCCUCCAGCGUAGAACAUGCUCCCCUGACACGCAGCAGUUCCCUGCCCUUCAGCGUGGGAAUUCAGCACUCAGAGAGGAGCAGCACAGCCUCUCCCCAGAACAGAGAUUUCAUAACUUUAGCCAGAAGAGGCAGCUCGGGACAUACAUACCCAGCAGGCUUUGGCACAAAGUCUGUAGACCAGCAGGUGUCCAAUCAUCGCCCACUAGUACGCCAGGCAGCCAUGGACUGCAACCCGGCAACAGAAGGCCUCGCUUUGACAUCAUCACUGGAGGAGGUCUUUCCCAACAGUCUUUGCUCAGAUGGCGACAGCAACGACAUUUGUGUGGAGCCAAGCAGCCAAAAGUGUCGCAGGAAGAAAUCACAGAAGUUUGCCUACAACAAAUGGUACAUGUAUGGGGGUGGAACUUUUAAAAAGCUGUACAGUACAGACAAAGUUGAGAAUAAUACUGUUCUCAAGGCUAGAAAGUCAAUGCCGAGCCAAGAGCAUGAGGUGGUCCAGGGGAUUCAGAGAAGGGGCUCAUUAAUGCACAGGGAGCUUGUCACAUCAGUGGGGUCUACAAAAGACUGCACUGCAACAGUGUGUCACCCAUCCAGCCUUCCAGCCAACUUGCCCUCUGUCCCAUGUGGGAAUGUAUAUCAAACAGGCAGCCAUCUUGAUUCCUCGUUUACUACGCUGAAAACAACCUUUGUGGAAAAACUGUCUCUGUCAACACAUCCACCAACCACUGGAGCAGCAAAUGCUAAGAGUACAGAAUCUGUUGCAGAGAGUGUAACGCAUGGGGGAAAACACACUGGCAGUGUCUCGCUACAUCAACAUUGUACAAGAUAUAUUCACUCAGAGACUAAGAAGCAGAGAACUGACAACAACAUAUGUUCACUGGGGACGCAGUUUGACCCCAACGCCAGUAAAACUGUGAUGCUCCCUGUCAAUACUGGUAUGACCUGCUCUGCUUCGUGUGUGAUGAACACCAACAGAACCUAUGUGAGCACUUCAUUCUCCUCUAACAACCCUACUGCCACUAAAACCAACUUUCUACCAAAGUACCAGCUGAAGCUACCCAACACAACAGACUCAGACUCUUCAUCACUGACCUUAAAUCAACCCACUGGUAUAAUUAGCCAUAACACCAUCUGUACCAUGUCCUCCUGCCAGACAUCAAGAACUAUAACAACUGGAAAGAAAGACAUUCCAUCCUCAGAAUCCUCAUGUAUGGAUCAGAGUCAGACAGUUAUGUCUCCACCAACAACAGUUGAAAAACAGCCAUCUACCAACAAAGCCUUAGUAGAAAGUGAGACUGUCACAACAACGACAAUUUUAGUCAAGGAAAGGGAUGCAAAACCACCCACCACAUAUAUACAGCAUCCACCUGUUGUGGCUUUUGCAGAGAACCUCUCUGCUACAUGUACGCCUAUCACAACCUCAGUUAGGAAUCUGACUGUUGCACCCAGUACAGUUUCCACUAAUAAUGUCUCAUUAAUAUCAGAGAACAGUUUUACUGAAGAGUUGAACACAGCUGCCAUACCUUGUCACAUUAUUCCAUACAAUGACUCAGAGUGCUCAGCUGCCCAGAAUGUAUUUCAUGUUCGGACGGCAGAUCUCCAGAUCUGCCUGGAGAUCAUAUCUGAUGAGCAGCUGGCUCUCAUAGAGCCCCAGAUUGAAAGGCAAGGCCAUACAAUUGGGUCUGGAUUGUUUACCCAUAGUGAAGAAACAAGGACCAAUUCAAAGGACCCCACACACGAAGAACAAAGCCAUUUUACCUGGGCAACAGUGAAUAUAAAUGCAGAUUUGGGGCCUAAAAAGGCUGAAUCUCAAAAUCAGGUUAAGUUGUCAUCCUCAGAAGGUUUUCAGAACAUCAAAUCCUUAUUACCAGAACGUUUUCAUCAGAUGGAUCAAAACAUUGCUGAUAAAGACCACAACAAUAGAAGGCAGACAGAGAGACUGUUCAAAAUUGAAUCUACUCCUUUAACUAACACAGGACAACCGACACAAUUCUUACAGGUUUCAACCACAUCACCAGACCCAUUAUUUACCCCUGGAACUCAUAAACACAUGCUUCUACCAACACAGAAGAACCGAGCGGGGGUUUUGUCAGCUCCUGUCUCCUCAAAAGGUGUGAAAUCAGAAAGGAGCCAAACACAGGAAGAAAAUGUCCUCCCGAAGAAGCCUAUUAGCCAAAAGGGCCAGGUUUCUGAUGAGCUGCCUGGCCAACACAAAGUCUGCCUGGUAGCCAGCUCCUCAUUGUCAUCUUCUACAGCAGCAAAGAGCAUCUCAGGAAGUGGAUUACAGGAAGAUGAUAGCCAACACAAAUCUCUAAAUCAAAGAGCCACAUGUAACAUGGACAAGAUGAAAACUAAGAAUACAACCCUGGAACAAGAAGCCCCUACUUCAGAUGGAAUGCCUAGAGAAUCCUAUCUGCCCCUGCAGUCAUGCUCUGGUCAGAAGGCUAAUGCUGAGAGCAGUGUCACUUUCCCCAAAAAGGAGCCUUCUAUUUUCCAGAACAAAGCCUUUAAACCUUAUGGAGAACCCGACUCAAAAGAAAUACAAGUCCAUAAUAGUUUCAUGGAAUUUGAACCUGUGAACUCAAAGAUCUAUUCUAGUUCCACAAUGUCAUCAAAAACAUUUGGUGUGGGCCAUAUCAACAUCGAAACUCUGGAUGUACAUGUACCUUUGCCAUGCCAGGCUCAGUGUAAAUCAGAGGAACACAGAGACUCACAGCUGGUCCAGUUUACCUUUGAGCCUUACAGCAUUCAUGAGGAAAGGCCCAAACAUGCCCCUGGUGUCUCUUUAUCCAAUCAAGACCCAACAACAGGUAGGUAUACAGGUGUUUAUCAAAUUGUAUUAGUUAUUCUUAGUUUAUGCAGCAUCAUGCAGUUGUGAGCACAAUCAAGUUUACAAAUUGUCAGAAAUCUGAUAUUUCUAUUUGAAUUACCUCUUUCCUCCACAAGGGGGUAGUAAAUGAUCAUGGUUCUUGUCGGAUUCUCUUUGAAAUGAGAAGUCAUAAAACUUGUCACAACACCUUUUGCUGAAAAGACCAAUGAGUUUUGUACAAAAUAAAUAAAGACAGCUGACAUUCCAUCUUUAACUGCCUCAAAAGGCACCCUGAAUAAACAGUAAGAACACAUGACCUCUAUGAUGUUAAUGCAGGAGUUACACCUACAGCUUAGGUAAGUCAGCUGACAACUGAGCUUUAGAUAGUCUCAUAUAGGGAUAUUUCUUUAUACCAGUCUAAAGUCUCGAUACCUACACUCUGUGGGAAUGUGUAGGCUUUAUUGGUUAUGAUUUCGAACCUCUUUCAUUGGUUCAGUAAUGCAAAAAUAUGAAUAAUUUAUAAUGGUUUGAAUAUGUUAUUUAGUAGUUCUUUAAUUAUCUGCAAAUCACCACCAAAGGAUGAUUAUUAUGAGGUAUUGUCCACAGUCAAAACAAAUACCCCACCGGGCACAGAGAGUAAGAGUUGGUUCACACUUACAAGUCGUCUUGGCUUGACUAGGCAGUGGUGUUUUGACUGAUCAAAUGCUUUCAGGAACAACAGAGGAGCCUCUGGAGGUCAGAGGAAGUGCCUUCCCCCGAGGUUCCUCACACAGCAGACCCCUGGGUUACAGAGGAUUCGGCCUCUGUCUCCUUUCCAGACAGCUGACAUGCAAUUUGAAAUAUAAACGCAGACUAGUCUUAAAGCAACUCUGCACAGAGGCACGCGCUCAAGUUCAGCCAAACCAAAUAGACCCUGAGUAUCAGACCAGUUGUUUUUUCACCAAGACAAUUACUGCUAUAUCUCCUCCUUCAUAGCUAUCUACCGAACAUAAUAUAUACUGUCCACAUGUUAGUCUCAGUCUCAGAUAUGCAAUCGCUACAUAUUCAUUAAUUUGGUUGACAUUAGGUUUGCAAUGAAGCGUAAUGUUUUUUGGUUUCAUUUUAUUUUAUGGCAUUUUCUGCUUUAUGGGAUAGACAGUGAAAAAUGACAGGAAAUGUAGGGGAAAGAGAGAGAGGGGAGGACAUGCAGAAAAUGGUCUGAGGAGGAUUUAAAUCCAGGCCCCUGCGGUAAAGCAUCAGCCUAUGUGGUUCUCACACUUGACUGGUGAGCCACAGGGAGCCCCCAAGGCAUACCAUUUAAAUAAUAUAAUGUUGGAGCUAUACUGUGAUUACAGUCAAUACAUGUCUUCUUUAGUUAAAGCUUGGGACUCAAAAUCAUGUCAGACAUUUUUCUUAUAUUCUGCAUUGUGAAAUCCAAAGAGGUUUGUUUCUUCCAUUGCAAAAUAUAGUGUGUAAUGUAUGUCAGCACACUCAUUAACUGAAAGUGACUGUAAAUAAGUUUACAUUUGUUGUUGUGAUUGUUUAUUUGGUCAGACAUUUACUACAUGUAUCUAUCAAUCAUGUUAUUGACUGAAAUACCAUAGCAUUACAAAGUCGGAAUGAUCUCCAUAAUUUAAAUCACAUUUCACUGACUGGAUAUCGUUCCAGACAAGCCAAACUCUAAAUAUGAAUGAAGGACAGGAUCAUAAAACAGUUGUGAACUCAUGUUCACCCCCCUGGUCCCCUAACCUCCACAAACACGUACAAACAUACACAAUACAAAUGCUUUUAAUUUGUUGUUGUGCCCUUAGGGGAUGUAGAGAGAGGCUGCCUGACAGGAGAUUCUAUCCAAAGGGAGAAUGGAAAACUAGGCCUUCAGAGGCCUCUUUGGCAACCCGACAACGCAGCCACGGAGUCCAGGGAGAGAAAGGUUUUUGGAGAACCAGACAACCAACACGCUGAGCAACAACAGAGUAGAG